GUUAACAUCAUUUGGUAAAUCAUUUCACGGCCGCUCUUCCAUCAUCUGAGAUCUUACCGCUCCAAUUCAGUAUGCUGUUUUCUGACCUGAUUGGAGGUCCAAUAACUGACCAGAUCGAGUGUCCAUCUGCUGACAGCAUACAUUGAUCUAUAUGAGGUAUGGGAAUGGAUCAUAGCAUGUUGACAGUUCAUAGGAGCGCAUCUAUCUUUCUAUCAGCAACUCGAUAGAGGGCCGCCAUUCACAGUUGAAGUUGUGUUAUACCUGGUGGUGGUUCAGAACUGUUAAAUGAACGCAUAUGGAAUGCCUAUGCUAGACCGCAGGUAUAUGUUCCUCUUGAAGGGGAACACAUUUACUACUUCCCCAAGGACAUAUGUGGUGCUUUUCAAAAUGGCAAACUUGCAGAUAGCAUAAAACCCAUCUCUCAAAAUUAAUUCCAAGUCAUCUUGUAUUGCUUUAUUAUGUUGUUGUUGUGUUCCAAUUUAAGCAUUUAACUGUAUAUAAAAUGAAAGCAGGUUGUUAUUACUGUAACAGCUUCAGACCUCCAUGCAUCAUGGAUUAGACAAGUAGCGUUCAACAUUUUACAUACCAGAAAAAAUAUUGUGCAAAGCGAUGAAUGUUCAGAGUCUGUGGUGUUAUUAUUCGGAACAUUAGUACAGCG
RNAcentral lists this long non-coding RNA (658 nucleotides) under Helianthus annuus (common sunflower). The record is from RNAcentral. Lineage: Eukaryota; Viridiplantae; Streptophyta; Magnoliopsida; Asterales; Asteraceae.